GCAUUUUUUGGCUCAUGAUGUACAGUUAAGGAGAUGGCAUGGGGUAAGCAGUCAUCUGCCAAGAAGGGGCUCUGGAUAGGGUUGACUGAAGGAAGGGGCCCAGAUCCCAGAAUCUUGAAAAAGUGACAUCACUUCCUUGGUGACAGGCCCACAACUGAUUUAGAACUCUGGUAACCAGGCACCUGCAUUCUACAACAGCUCACUUUACUGGAGACGGUCAAGAGAACAAGAUGUUCUCUUGCUGUUGUCCUACUUUUAGGGGCUCUGGGCUCAGGAGAGUCCAGAGUGAGAGACAUUGAUGUAGCUGUCGACGUCAGCUCGGCCCUCUUCUCCGAAGCUUCUGGUUAUGUGGUGGGAGACCUCAACAGGUACCACAAGGCAACUUGGGGAGGCCACUGGAGAGCAGGCACACUGUGAUCUCAUUUGAGCAGGCUUGUACCUCUUACACCUCAUUGUGUGUGUGUCUGUGUGUUUAUGUGUGUGUGAGUGUGUCUGGGUCUGUGUGUGUGUGUAUGUGUGUGUGUGUGUGUGUGCGUGUGUGUGUGUGUAGAGGGGACAGAGGAGAGGAACAUGCCCUUCCUGGGCACAAACCAGCUGCCAGGUGUUGGAAGCCUGACACAUCUUUUGUGUUCAGACCCCAGGUCAUAGCAGGCGAGAUGAGAAGGUGAGUUCUGGGGACCAAGCUCAAAUUCCAAUAUGUUAGUCAUGAGCCCAAGAGCCUCUUUCAUCUGGCUUCCUCCUUGCCAGAUGUCUCCACAGCUGCCCCUCUGGCCUGAACAGGAGAACACGAUUUCUAAUGGGGGUGUCCCCUUGGGGGUGAUGUCGAGGGAGGACCCUAAUGUCUCUUGGCCCUGUAUAUAUGGGGCACUGUAUUUGCAGAGCUGCACCCAGGAGAUCUUGGAGGAGAUGGUCUGUGGCUUCAACUAUUCCAACUCCCUAGACAAUGAUCAGGUGCACCAGACAAACAGGGAUCAGUGCUGUUCUGAGUGCUGCAAGGAACACCUUAUGUAUCCCUACAGACUGUUUUGGUUGCUAGAUCUGCCAUAACCUGGAACCCCAGAUUAGGGGGAAGGCCUCUGAUGCCUCCUGGCACCAGUAGCUGGCUCUUUUUGUAAUGAUCCACCCAGGAAAUCUUGGAUGAGUUACUUCAAGAGUUCAACUCCUCCAUCUCCCCUGACAAGCACAGGGGCAUCAGGCCACCAACAUCCAUUGAAGGUCUGCGGUGAGAACAGGUCCACUUUCAUGGUCAAACUCAAGACCCAGAGAUGAUCAGAGCAAGCCCAGAACCCAGGCUAGAAACAACUGACACCCUUGGAACCUGCAGGAGAAGGAAUCAACCCUAUCCCUGGGUGAGGCCAGGACCAUGCUGAUGCUCAGAGAAGGGAGAAUGGAUGAUUUUCUACAGUCCUUGGGACCAUCCUUCCAGGACAGAAGCCUUGCAAACAACCCAGUCAUUUCCUGUCUCUACCAGGUGUUCACCACAGCCCAACAGGUCCUGGGCCAGCAAUUCCCCAGCUUCAUUUUGGGAGCUUCCUGUGAAGAGGCAAACGAGUCAAAGAGAGCUGUAGAUGGGGUCCCAAGCCCUCUGGGAAGCGGAGCACAGUCUGGGCCAAUUCGGUGCCUCAAACAUCCAUCCCUUCAACUGUCCCAUCUUGCUCUUCCUACACUUCCCUCUACCACCUCUUCUGACCUCCACAACUGGGGCCAAGAACAGAAGCUUUGGUGAGCAGACCACUCACCAAUCUGCCACAAACCUAAGCCCCGAUACUGGUGUGCAAGGAGGAUGGAGUACACGAGGCCCUUGGCCAUUGAGAAAAGAGGAUAAGUAGAAAAACCAGACUCAUACAGGUUUUCUGGACGACCAGGUCAUCCACUGCAAGGACAGCAACAGGGGGGUUGGAAGUCAUGCUGGGGACAUUCUCUGGGACCCACACAGAAAGAAUGGUGCUAUGGGAGUACCAUGUGGCAUGAAAGGCCAUGCUCUGAAGCUGCUCCGCAUAUGACUCUCCCCAGCACCCUCUCUCCCAUCUUGGGUACCUGGCCUGACCAGAAGCUGCAGGACACCUGGAAAUCCCUGCACUGUGCCUGUUUUGAAGUAAAGGGGGCCUGGGUGCAGGCAAAUUUGUAUGACCUGAAUUGCCAUGCUCCCAUUAUGGUAAUGCCCCGGGAACUUCUGCAGCUCACUGAGGCAGACACAGAGUCAGAGGUGCCAGCUCCACGGCUCCUUCCAGCAUCUCCUCCAUCAGCUGUUCCAGACCUGGAACAAGAGCCUGUGCCUUCUUCAUGCGUACCAGGUCAUGAGCCGCAGUCAGUUCCACCACCAGCUUUCCUGGGGAUUGUCACUCCUUCCCUAAGCAUAAAGACAGAGUGACCUCCAGCCCCAGAGGCGACCUACCACUGGUGCGUAACCCCCGAGCACCAGCUGCAUGAGGAGAAGCCCGGGCUCAUGGACUUCCCUCCCAAACUGGUGGCAGAGCAGUUGACAUCCAUAGACGUGGAUCUGUUCAAGAAAGUGCUGUCCCAACAGUGCCUGAGCUCCAUUUGGUCCAAGAGAAAUGAACCUGGGAAUGAGCACCUGACACGCACAGUCAGUGCCACUAUCACUCAGUUCAACAACGUGGCCAAUGCGUCAUCACCACCUGCCUUGGCAACCCACGCAUGACAGCCUGGGACAGGGCCAUGGUGGUGGAGCACUGGAUCAAAGUGGCCAAGGCCUGUCAAAUCUUAUGGAACUACUCUUCCAUGCAUGCCAUCAUCUCUGCUCUGCAGAAUGUCUCAGUUCACCACCUGAAGAACACAUGGGCCAAAGUUUCCAGGAAGAAGAUUCAAACAUUUAAAAAAAUGUGCACCAAGGACAAUCCACAGAGCAGGAACCUGCUUAUCCAAGUAGCGUGGAAGGUGUUGGUAUAGAAAGAGAAGAGGCAUGGGAGGAACGGCGUCCUUCGUGAAUGAAUUAGGGACUGGCCAGGAGCAUUCCUUCAGGAAGUGAAGGCUUUGGCAUGAACGUGGACGCAGCCUGGGGUGAAAAUCCACAAUGGGUGGAAAAACAGUUGCUGCUCAACCAGAAUCCCUAGGCUGGACACACAUGCUCCCUGUUGCCAGCUGAUCCAAAUGGGGGCCUCUACCAAACUUGAGAGCCCAGAGGACAUGCCUCUGCUCAGUGAUGGGUUUGGAUGGGAUGAGGGCCACAACAAUGAUGAUAGGAAUAGGACACUGGGUCCUCAGGAGACCAAGGGAGGGAGCUGGAAUUCUCACCUUUCCCAGUGAGGAACCAGGCUCAGGGAGGCCAGGCUGCAAGCUCAAGGCCACACAUGGAGUGAAUGUUGGAGCUGAGGUUGUUCUAGAAUCAUUCAUGACAGGCUUAAGGAUAACGUAGCAUGCUACCCUCUGCCUUAGGUCAGAUGUCCAGGGUCUGAAGUCAAAGAUGGUGGGGAGAAGCGGCCCGAGGUGAUUAUAGUCUUGAGGAACUUGUCUUUGGCCCUGCAGGAACGGCCAUCUAAACUUGGAACCCUGGGGAUAAAUGUCCAGAGAGCAUGGAAGAGGGGGCAGCAGAAGAAGCUGAGCAUGCCCCAGAUACGUGGCCUCGAGCCCAGAGGAGAAGGGGUCUUCCCUGAAAGCUGGAAGCCACCAAAUUAAGACAGCCUCCCCGCUGCCCCUGGGAGCUAGGGUUACUUGCCCAUGUCUGUGAUGAGUGAAGGGAGGCUGCACUUAGUUCACUGGUCCUGAGAUCAAGUCUGCUGCCUGAAUGCCAAGCAGCAUGAGGGCAAUGAGAUCAACCACUGGAAGAAGAAUAAGCUACAUCCUGUCCUGCCAGCUGGAGCCCUGAACCUAGCUCACAAACAGGAAGAACUGGCCACAGUCAACCUCAGGCCUGAGCUGGUGUCCAGGGGCAACAACGGGCACAGGACCCACCUGCUUGACACCACUUCCUUCCGUCUCUUUACUUAUUUGGAGGACUAAUAUUUCAUUGUCUUAAAUAGUAAAUGGUAGAUUUCAAUAUUAUAAUAUUAAAGCCUCU
Molecule: RNA transcript, 4018 nt
Organism: Canis lupus familiaris (dog)
Lineage: Eukaryota; Metazoa; Chordata; Mammalia; Carnivora; Canidae
Exons: 11
Source: RefSeq, a predicted model, not a curated record